GACGAACCGUCCGAACGUUAUUCGGAAUCACUGGGCUUAAAGGGUGCGUAGGCGGCGCGGAAAGUUGGGUGUGAAAUCCCCCCGGCUCAACCGGGGAACUGCUGGGUAUACUGGCGAUCUUGAGCCACCUAGGGGCAGUCGGAACAAGUGGUGGAGCGGUGAAAUGCGUAGAUAUCACUUGGAACGCCAAUGGUGAAAACAGACUGCUGGGGGUGUGCUGACGCUGAGACACGAAAGCCAGGGGAGCGAACGGG
Molecule: ribosomal RNA, 254 nt
Filed under: uncultured bacterium
Lineage: Bacteria
Description: partial 16S ribosomal RNA
Rfam family: Bacterial small subunit ribosomal RNA
Source: RNAcentral